UCACGGUUUGCACCGGCAGUCUGGUUAGAGUCCCCACCAUUAUGUGCUGGUAACUAACCACAGGGGUUGCGCUCGUUAUAGGACUUAACCUGACACCUCACGGCACGAGCUGACGACAACCAUGCAGCACCUUGUGAAUUGUCCGAAGAAAUAACUGUUUCCAAUUACGUCAAUCCACAUUUAAGCCUUGGUAAGGUUCCUCGCGUAUCAUCGAAUUAAACCACAUGCUCCACCGCUUGUGCGGGCCCCCGUCAAUUCCUUUGAGUUUCAUUCUUGCGAACGUACUCCCCAGGUGGGAUACUUAUCACUUUCGCUUAACCACUGAGAUCGAAAUCCCAACAGCUAGUAUCCAUCGUUUACGGCGUGGACUAC
Molecule: unclassified non-coding RNA, 372 nt
Filed under: uncultured Flavobacteriaceae bacterium
Lineage: Bacteria; Pseudomonadati; Bacteroidota; Flavobacteriia; Flavobacteriales; Flavobacteriaceae
Description: contains 16S-23S intergenic spacer region
Source: RNAcentral